GACGAACGCUGGCGGCGUGCUUAACACAUGCAAGUCGAACGGAAAGGCCCUGCUUGCAGGGUACUCGAGUGGCGAACGGGUGAGUAACACGUGGGUGAUCUGCCCUGCACUUCGGGAUAAGCCUGGGAAACUGGGUCUAAUACCGGAUAGGAGCCAUUUUUAGUGUGAUGGUUGGAAAGUUUUUUCGGUGUAGGAUGAGCUCGCGGCCUAUCAGCUUGUUGGUGGGGUAAUGGCCUACCAAGGCGGCGACGGGUAGCCGGCCUGAGAGGGUGGACGGCCACAUUGGGACUGAGGUACGGCCCAGACACCGACGGGAGGCAGCAGUGGGGAAUAUUGCACAAUGGGCGCAAGCCUGAUGCAGCGACGCCGCGUGGGGGAUGACGGCCUUCGGGUUGUAAACUCCUUUCGCUAGGGACGAAGCUUUUUGUGACGGUACCUAGAUAAGAAGCACCGGCUAACUACGUG
RNAcentral lists this ribosomal RNA (465 nucleotides) under uncultured bacterium. Its description in RNAcentral is "partial 16S ribosomal RNA". It matches the Rfam family "Bacterial small subunit ribosomal RNA", at positions 28 to 507 of the family's 1533-position model. The record is from RNAcentral.